ACCAUCUCCAGGACCUGUGGUGGGAAAGUCCAGGACUGGUCAGAAUGUGAGCCUAUGUGACUAGUGUGGAAUUGGAACUGUUGAGAGUAGAAAGACAGACUUUUGCAGUAACAAGCAGCAGCAGGAAGAAUUAGAAUAUAUGGUGAAAAAUCAACUCCAGGAACUUGGGCAUUAUCGAAUGCUGCUCAGAGGCCUUUUUAUUUGUGAUGCAAGAACACCAACAUGAAGAGCCAGCAAGCUUCCUCAGGGGUUUCUGGAGUAUCUCCUUGGAAACAACACCGUUUAACCAGGCUGUGAAGGAAGAGUCAGCCAUGGACCCAAGGCUUUUCCUUUUCCUGAUCCAUGUUCUGCUCUGACUACCACAGACCCCUGCGUGGAGGAUGACAGGACUGAUUCCUAGGGAUGGAUCAGACAUCUAUUGCGUGUCAACUGUGCAGACUGAAGUUGGCCUCCUAACUGGUCAUGCCAGAGAGGUUUCUGCUCUUUCUUUCUCUCUGUAACUCAUUUGU
Molecule: long non-coding RNA, 509 nt
Organism: Otolemur garnettii (small-eared galago)
Lineage: Eukaryota; Metazoa; Chordata; Mammalia; Primates; Galagidae
Exons: 3
Source: RefSeq, a predicted model, not a curated record